Mastomys coucha (southern multimammate mouse) is the source of this 422-nucleotide long non-coding RNA. RefSeq lists it as uncharacterized. The record is from RefSeq and is a predicted model, not a curated record. NCBI's taxonomy places the organism in Eukaryota, Metazoa, Chordata, Mammalia, Rodentia, Muridae. The transcript is spliced from 2 exons.
AUCCCGACACUCUACCAAACUGGACUGCUGGUAUAUCCGUGAAGUGUUUGCAAGUGGAUGGAGCUGCUGGUGCUUAUCUGUGAACUGAAUUGCUGGUUUCCUGACAAAGCAGAUGGGAUUUGCUCCAAAGAACCUUCUAAACAGGAGAGCUUUUAAAGAUAAGACCAAGGAAGAUUGCAUCAGAUAUUUUGAAGCAAUACGUGUCGGCCACGAUGAUUAAUAACAGGAGUGAUGUCAGUCGGAGGUUGAACAGUCUUGCUGAGUGGGCAUCCUUGUAGUGCCUGCACGUGCGGUGGCCUCUGUGCAAGUUUACAGUUGGCCUGAGACAGAAGCAAUCAUGCUGGAACAGUCCUUCCUCAUGACUGUAAGACUCCACUUUCUUUCCUUUGGGUCUGAUUAAAUUGACACAGUGAUUCUGACAA